Non-coding RNA from Podarcis muralis (Common wall lizard), 1362 nucleotides. NCBI's taxonomy places the organism in Eukaryota, Metazoa, Chordata, Lepidosauria, Squamata, Lacertidae. The record is from RefSeq and is a predicted model, not a curated record.
AGAGCCCUUGCUGAGCGGAAGGAAACGUUGCUGCUGAAGCGUCCGUGGGGUUUGGGGGGCGUCCUCGUGCACCAUAGUUUUAAAUCGCCGCUUGGGACCCGGGGGUAGGGCUGGGGCGUGGCAACUUAGGGAGCGAGCCGGUUGCAGGAGGCUGGAAGUGCAUCGAAAGGGAACAGCGCGGUUGGGAUUCCGAGCUGGAGAUCCUCACGUGCUGUGGGAUCCCAUAGGCGCGUUUGCGGAGAAGUAAGUCCCACUGUGUUCAGCGGAGCUUGCUCCGAGGGAAGGGCGCGUAGGAUUGCAGCAUUAUAAAGCUCCCAGAUCGAGCGGAGAAGUGCGUGGAGACGCGGUGGGUGAAGGAAGCUUGACCAUUUCGAAGAUGAAAUGGCUGGCACGUGAAUUGCUUCUCUAGAUUGUCCUCCCCGUGGUCUGAGCUGGCCUGGGCUUAGACCGUCCUUUGUCAGAAGCAGGAAGCUGGGUGAUGCAGGAUGUAUGUACAACGUUCAUCGGGAAAAGUAGGAGCCAGCAGAAAACUCGAGCCACCAUGAAUUAAAAAUCCGAGACGCAUCUACCUGAAAUCCUGUUCACGCUUUUUUGUUGGUAAAUCCCAGUGAAUCCAGUGGGACUCCUCUCCAUACAUAAGGGCAGGGCACUAAAGGGCCAAAGAGCUUUUGGAUGCUUUAGCUACAGCAGGCUUAACCACGGUUUCUCUUCAGGAGCUUCAUACCAAAAGUGCUUCAGCAGCCUGACUCUACAGUGAACAGAGUCUUUCAAUUCUUAAACUGAUCUUUUCCCAGGAGUUUUGCUGCCUCUGUGAUCCCAGAUCUUACCAAAGACUUCAGCUGACAGCUCAAUCGGUAUGAGAUAGAUGGAAAGGGUUCUCUUGAACACCCCACAACAUUUUUUCCCCCCCUGGAGGGCAUCCCAUUUCCCUGUUGAGCUGAUAAGCACGACACCACCUGAGCAAGAACACAAUGAUAAGAAAGCUAGGAGUAUAAAGAUCCUGCAGAGAUGAGAGGAAGAGCUAGCAACAUAUUGUUCUUAGAUCAAAGAUAGCUGAAAAAACAUUUUACCCAGCAUAAUAUUGAUUGAUCUCAAAUUGCUGCAGUUUUGGCAUCCAUAUGGUGCAUUUCUUCUCAGUUUAACAUUUGGUUUCAUUGACAAAACAUUAUUCAUAGCAAAUGAAAUGAAUGUAUGUAUGUUGUGUUUAGUCCUGUUAAAUCGCUACAGCUCUCCAGUGAUUUGGAGGUGGGAAGAGGACUGUUUGCCCAUUAAAAAAAAAUUGUUUCUAAAAUGUUGACUUGUGACAAAUAUAAACAAAUUAAAUUAAUACCAAACAGUUAUUAAAAAACUAUAUAUCAGAGU